UAAAGAAGAGUUAAGUUCCUUCUAAUUUCAUUGUCUUAGUCUUCAUCAUCGAUGAUCAUCUUUCUUUUCUGAAGGCGAGAAAACUUUAACUCGGUAAUAUUCAUCACUAAAGCUUCUUCAUCGUCUUCAAGAAUUUUUCGCUGAGUAUAAUUUUGAGAAAAAUUUUGACUUUUUGCUUAUUCAGUUUCUUCAUUAUCUUCAAGAAUAUCAUGUUGAAUAUGAAUUUGAGGGAAAUUCUUGUUUCCAAUUUAUUCAUCUUCUUGUCCAUCAAGUUCCUCAAUUGAUAUGCCUGUGUAGUUGUAAGUAAUUACUUCACAUCUUUUGGCCUCUGCAACUUUAAUAGUUAGUAAUUAAGUAUGAUUUUUUUCAAGCAACUUUCCAAUUUGCUCACAAAUUGGUCAAUAUUAUAUUCCUGCAAAAUUGAAUGACAAAUAAUAAGUAAAUUUAUUAAAUUAUUUUUUGUAUUAUUAUAAUACAUGUGGUACCUUUAACUGCCGAAGUUCAUUAACGUUGCAAUUCAACAGUUACCCCACUUCCUUAUGAAAUAGUGAUACCCAAAGCUCGUCAGUAUCAUCAGCAACUUUUAGACGAAACAUAAACCUGUAAAAACUUAACAAGCACUUAGAUUUUUAUUUAACUUUAACAUAUAAGAAAAUAAUAUUGCUAAUAUUACCUAUAUUCAACAUCAAUAU
RNAcentral lists this long non-coding RNA (692 nucleotides) under Ananas comosus (pineapple). Its description in RNAcentral is "long non-coding RNA (ACOM_LNC008928)". The record is from RNAcentral. Lineage: Eukaryota; Viridiplantae; Streptophyta; Magnoliopsida; Poales; Bromeliaceae.